GCAUUUGUCUUUUAAAUAGAGACCUGUAUGAAUGGCAUAACGAGGGUUUAACUGUCUCCCUCCCCCAGUCAAUGAAAUUGAUCUGCCCGUGCAGAAGCGGACAUAAACACAUAAGACGAGAAGACCCUAUGGAGCUUUAGACAAAAGAUCAAACAUGUAAAGAAACCAAACCAACCAAAAGGAACACAAAGGCCACAAAACCCAACGUAAAAUGAUCAAAAUGUCUUCGGUUGGGGCGACCAUGGGGGAAAGAAAAGCCCCCACGAGGAACUAAGGGCAAUCCAUUAAGCCAAGAGAUACACCUCUAAGCAACAGAAAAUCUGACCAAAAAUGACCCAGGACACUAAUCCUGAUCAACGAACCAAGUUACCCUAGGGAUAACAGCGCAAUCCUUUCCCAGAGUCCAUAUCGACGAAAGGGUUUACGACCUCGAUGUUGGAUCAGGACAUCCUAAUGGUGCAGCCGCUAUUAAGGGUUCGUUUGUUCAACGAUUAACAGUCCUAC
RNAcentral lists this ribosomal RNA (504 nucleotides) under Anguilla marmorata (giant mottled eel). Its description in RNAcentral is "partial 16S rRNA". It matches the Rfam family "Bacterial large subunit ribosomal RNA", at positions 1965 to 2599 of the family's 2925-position model. The record is from RNAcentral. Lineage: Eukaryota; Metazoa; Chordata; Actinopteri; Anguilliformes; Anguillidae.